UCCUUUUUCUUUUCUUUUCUUUUCUUCUCUUUUCUUUCUUCCACAAAAUGGUGA
This 54-nucleotide non-coding RNA is filed under the name Thraustochytrium sp. LLF1b. Lineage: Eukaryota; Bigyra; Thraustochytrida; Thraustochytriidae. The record is from RNAcentral.